AUGGGGAAGGGCCUGGUGGCAGCAGCGGCAGCAGGAAUCCGCUGGGCUCUGAGUCAGUUCCUGCAGCUCCUGGGGGGCCCGGGGCGGGGAGGGGGGCCCGCAUUCCGCCGCCCGCGGCACCGGCCUCCCACCACACAUGGCAACGCCACGGUGUUUGCAAGCAGCCGGGUUUCCAGGUGUUCCCGGGAUCACGGCUCGGCGGCCCGCGGCCAGCAGUGGACUGGGCAGAGGGCUCUGGGCAGCCGCGUGCACCCGGCCCCGCCCUGUGUGACCCCGCUCCUGACGCCCUCCUCCCGUGGCUGGGAGCAGGGCUGGCUGGUGGCCACCGAGGCCCGGCCCACGUGGUCUGCCCGUGGGCCCCGCGCCUGGUGUCCCCGCAGAGACAGCGUGGCCCACAUCUCAGGGACUUGGCCCCCCUCUGGCUCUGGCCCUCGCAGCCUGGAAGCUGCUUCUCCCUGGGGCCCUGCUCUUCUGCAGCCCACUCCCCAUGGGCUCCUCCCCACUACAGUGCAGAGGGCGUCCCCUCUGCUCACCCUGGCUGCCUCAGGCACCCACGAGCUCCCAGGACCUGGAAGUACGGUGGCCACAGCUCUGGCUCUUCUGGCUGGUCAGCAGACUAAUGUGGCCACUGUUGGGAUGCCCCGUACCAGCCCAGAGGGGGACGUGGGGGUCGCUGCCCAGGCCCCAGACCUCCUCCUGCUAACACUCCCAAAUACCUGUGGGGUCAGGGGAGGCCCAGGUCCGGAGGCCUGCCAGCCUUCCAAUCAGGAUCCGGGAUACAAGGAAACAGGGUCAUCGGCUUUGCCCGUGGGGACAGAGAGGCCCCCAAGAUGGACAAGCCGCCCUCCACCAGAUACCCUGCCCGGUGCCCAUGGCCAUUCUGGGGGAUGGAGGCUGGAGGGGGCGUUGUGGAGGCCCUGGGCCCUCCAUGUCCCCUCCACCUCUGGUGCUUCUGGGGCUGCCCAGAGUGGUGUGGGUGGUGGCCAGGCUGAGAGCUGCCCUCUCUGA
Molecule: long non-coding RNA, 1008 nt
Filed under: Canis lupus dingo (dingo)
Lineage: Eukaryota; Metazoa; Chordata; Mammalia; Carnivora; Canidae
Description: lncRNA (ENSCAFG00020011316.1)
Source: RNAcentral